This 564-nucleotide long non-coding RNA is filed under the name Marmota monax (woodchuck). The record is from RNAcentral. Lineage: Eukaryota; Metazoa; Chordata; Mammalia; Rodentia; Sciuridae.
GCUUCUGCGCUUCCGCUACUGACCUUUCCUCUGGAGUCCGCCAUUCCUGCCAUUCAGGUCCAGGUUUUGGUCCGGUACUUAGGAUCCCGGGUUGUUCUGCGGCGCAGGUGCUGAAGGUCCCCAGGGAGCAUGUCUGACUGCUGAGCACCAGGAAAUGGUGAGUGUGCUGCGGUACCUGGAGCCUUGGCAGGGAGGCUGGGGAAGGAGCCUUCAGGCAGGACUGGCUGUGGCGGAAACCGGAGCUGGUAGAACCGGACUCCAGGCAGCUUCUGCAGUCCGCAGGCCUUAGCCCUCCUUGGGGGCAUCGCCUCUCAGUCCCACUGGCUAGCCAGAUGGGGAACGUGUCAGUGGCGGAGACCCCCGCAGCCUCCCACCGGCUCCGGGCGUCCUCAGCCCCAGCUCAAGUCCUAUGUGGCUGAGGAGCGCGGCGGCUCGCCGCAGCCCAGCGUCUGCCCCUGGGCUGUGGUGCUUGACACAUGUGACGAGCGUCAGAAUCCUAUCUCCAAAUGGUGUUUUCCUCUAGGAGGAGAGCUGUGGUGUACAGGGUCCUUGAUUAUUCCUAAG